Molecule: transfer RNA, 77 nt
Filed under: Thermococcus thioreducens
Lineage: Archaea; Methanobacteriati; Methanobacteriota; Thermococci; Thermococcales; Thermococcaceae
Description: tRNA-Gly
Rfam family: tRNA
About the family: Transfer RNA (tRNA) molecules are approximately 80 nucleotides in length. Their secondary structure includes four short double-helical elements and three loops (D, anti-codon, and T loops). Further hydrogen bonds mediate the characteristic L-shaped molecular structure. tRNAs have two regions of fundamental functional importance: the anti-codon, which is responsible for specific mRNA codon recognition, and the 3' end, to which the tRNAs corresponding amino acid is attached (by aminoacyl-tRNA synthetases). tRNAs cope with the degeneracy of the genetic code in two manners: having more than one tRNA (with a specific anti-codon) for a particular amino acid; and 'wobble' base-pairing, i.e. permitting non-standard base-pairing at the 3rd anti-codon position.
Source: RNAcentral
GCGGUGGUAGUCUAGCCUGGUCUAGGACACCGGCCUCCCAAGCCGGUGACCCGGGUUCAAAUCCCGCCACCGCACCA